UGGGGAAUUUUGCGCAAUGGGCGAAAGCCUGACGCAGCAACGCCGCGUGAGGGAUGAAGGCCUUCGGGUCGUAAACCUCUGUCAGAGGGGAAGAACCACCUAUGUGAUAAUACCUCAUAGGUCUGACGGUACCCUCAGAGGAAGCACCGGCUAACUCCGUGCCAGCAGCCGCGGUAAUACGGAGGGUGCAAGCGUUGUUCGGAAUUAUUGGGCGUAAAGCGCGCGCAGGCGGCUGCGCAAGUCUGAUGUGAAAGCCCCGGGCUCAACCUGGGAAGUGCAUCGGAAACUGCGUAGCUUGAGUACGGGAGAGGGAAGCGGAAUUCCGAGUGUAGGGGUGAAAUCCGUAGAUAUUCGGAAGAACACCAGUGGCGAAGGCGGCUUCCUG
RNAcentral lists this ribosomal RNA (385 nucleotides) under uncultured bacterium. RNAcentral's name for it is "bacterial SSU rRNA". It matches the Rfam family "Bacterial small subunit ribosomal RNA", at positions 355 to 731 of the family's 1533-position model. The record is from RNAcentral.